RNAcentral lists this ribosomal RNA (253 nucleotides) under uncultured bacterium. RNAcentral describes it as "partial 16S ribosomal RNA". It matches the Rfam family "Bacterial small subunit ribosomal RNA", at positions 524 to 776 of the family's 1533-position model. The record is from RNAcentral.
GACGGAGGGUGCAAGCGUUGUUCGGAAUUACUGGGCGUAAAGGGCGCGUAGGCGGUCUGUUAAGUUCGGCGUGAAAUCCCCCGGCUCAACUGGGGAACGGCACCGGAAACUGGCAGACUAGAGUACCGGAGAGGAGGGUGGAAUUCCUGGUGUAGCGGUGAAAUGCGUAGAUAUCGGGAGGAACACCUGUGGCGAAAGCGGCGCACUGGACCACAUCUGAUGCUGAGGCGCGAAAGCUAGGGGAGCAAACAGG